GACGAACGCUGGCGGCGUGCUUAACACAUGCAAGUCGAACGGUAAGGCCCUUCGGGGUACACGAGUGGCGAACGGGUGAGUAACACGUGGGUGAUCUGCCCUGCACUUCGGGAUAAGCCGGGGAAACUGGGUCUAAUACCGGAUAGGACCACUGCCUGCAUGGGUGGUGGGCGUAAGCUUUUGCGGUGUGGGAUGGGCCCGCGGCCUAUCAGCUUGUUGGUGGGGUGAGGGCCUACCAAGGCGACGACGGGUAGCCGCCCCGAGAGGGUGAUCGGGAACACGUGGACUCAGAUACGGGCCAGACUCCUAAGGGAGGCAGCAGUGGGGGAGAUUGCACAAUGGGGGCAAGCCUGAUGCAGCGACGCCGCGUGAGGGAUGGCGGCCUUCGGGUUGUAAACCUCUUUCAGCACCGACGAAGCGCAAGUGACGGUAGGUGCAGAAGAAGGACCGGCCAACUACGUGCCAGCCGCCGCGGUAA
Molecule: ribosomal RNA, 478 nt
Filed under: uncultured bacterium
Lineage: Bacteria
Description: partial 16S ribosomal RNA
Rfam family: Bacterial small subunit ribosomal RNA
Source: RNAcentral